GACGAACGCUGGCGGCGCGCUUAACACAUGCAAGUCGAACGGAAAGGCCUGCUUUCCCUUGUGGAUUGCGGGUACUCGAGUGGCGAACGGGUGAGUAACACGUGAGUGAUCUGCCCCCAACUUGGGUAUAAGCCUGGGAAACUGGGUCUAAUUCCCGAUAGGACUGCAGGGUGGUGCCUGUGGUGGAAAACGAUUUUCUAGUGGUUGGGGAUGAGCUCGCGGCCUAUCAGCUUGUUGGUGGGGUAAUGGCCUACCAAGGCGGCGACGGGUAGCCGGCCUGGGAGGGUGGACGGGCACAUUGGGACUGAGAUACGGCCCAGACUCCUACGGGAGGCAGCAGUGGGGAAUAUUGCACAAUGGGCGGAAGACUGAUGCAGCGACGCCGCGUGGGGGAUGACGGCCUUCGGGUUGUAAACUCCUUUCGACCGCGAGGAAGCCACCUGGUUGGAAGGGUGGUGACGGUAGUGGUAGAAGAAGCACCGGCUAACUACGUG
RNAcentral lists this ribosomal RNA (494 nucleotides) under uncultured bacterium. Its description in RNAcentral is "partial 16S ribosomal RNA". It matches the Rfam family "Bacterial small subunit ribosomal RNA", at positions 28 to 507 of the family's 1533-position model. The record is from RNAcentral.